RNAcentral lists this ribosomal RNA (438 nucleotides) under uncultured bacterium. RNAcentral describes it as "bacterial SSU rRNA". It matches the Rfam family "Bacterial small subunit ribosomal RNA", at positions 214 to 669 of the family's 1533-position model. The record is from RNAcentral.
AUCGCCUUUGGGUAAGCCCGCGUUGGAUUAGGUAGUUGGUGGGGUAAAGGCCUACCAAGCCUGCGAUCCAUAGCUGGUCUGAGAGGACGAUCAGCCACACUGGGACUGAGACACGGCCCAGACUCCUACGGGAGGCAGCAGUGGGGAAUCUUGCGCAAUGGACGAAAGUCUGACGCAGCCAUGCCGCGUGAGUGAUGAAGGUCUUAGGAUUGUAAAGCUCUUUCGACGGGGACGAUGAUGACGGUACCCGUAGAAGAAGCCCCGGCUAACUUCGUGCCAGCAGCCGCGGUGAUACGAAGGGGGCUAGCGUUGUUCGGAAUUACUGGGCGUAAAGCGUGCGCAGGCGGUUUUUUAAGCCAGAGGUGAAAUCCCGGAGCUCAACUUCGGAAUGGCCUUUGGAACUGGAAAGCUAGAGAACGGUAGAGGUGAGUGGAAUCC